AAUAAAUUAGAGCUUGAAUAAGUAUUUUAUUUACAUUAAAAAGAUUAUUGUUAAUUCAAUAUAGUUUAA
This 69-nucleotide transfer RNA is filed under the name Ptiliidae sp. BMNH 1274723. RNAcentral's name for it is "tRNA-Val". Lineage: Eukaryota; Metazoa; Arthropoda; Insecta; Coleoptera; Ptiliidae. The record is from RNAcentral.